UGGGGAAUUUUGGACAAUGGGCGCAAGCCUGAUCCAGCAAUGCCGCGUGCAGGAUGAAGGCCUUCGGGUUGUAAACUGCUUUUGUACGGAACGAAAAAGCUCUGGUUAAUACCUGGGGCCCAUGACGGUACCGUAAGAAUAAGCACCGGCUAACUACGUGCCAGCAGCCGCGGUAAUACGUAGGGUGCAAGCGUUAAUCGGAAUUACUGGGCGUAAAGCGUGCGCAGGCGGUUAUGUAAGACAGAGGUGAAAUCCCCGGGCUCAACCUGGGAACUGCCUUUGUGACUGCAUAGCUGGAGUGCGGCAGAGGGGGAUGGAAUUCCGCGUGUAGCAGUGAAAUGCGUAGAUAUGCGGAGGAACACCGAUGGCGAAGGCAAUCCCCCUGGGCCUGCACUGACGCUCAUGCACGAAAGCGUGGGGAGCAAACAGGAUUAGAUACCCCUGGUAGUCCACGCCCUAAACGAUGUCAACUGGUUGUUGGGAAUUCACUUUCUCAGUAACGAAGCUAACGCGUGAAGUUGACCGCCUGGGGAGUACGGCCGCAAGGUUA
RNAcentral lists this ribosomal RNA (550 nucleotides) under uncultured bacterium. RNAcentral's name for it is "bacterial SSU rRNA". It matches the Rfam family "Bacterial small subunit ribosomal RNA", at positions 355 to 896 of the family's 1533-position model. The record is from RNAcentral.